AACGAACGCUGUCGGCAUGCCUAACACAUGCAAGUCGAACGAGACCUUCGGGUCUAGUGGCGCACGGGUGAGUAACGCGUGGGAACCUGCCCUUAGGUUCGGAAUAACUCCCCGAAAGGGGUGCUAAUACCGGAUAAUGUCUUCGGACCAAAGAUUUAUCGCCUUGGGAUGGGCCCGCGUUGGAUUAGCUAGUUGGUAGGGUAAAAGCCUACCAAGGCGACGAUCCAUAGCUGGUAUGAGAGGAUGAUCCGCCACACUGGGACUGAGACACGGCCCAGACUCCUACGGGAGGCAGCAGUGGGGAAUAUUGGACAAUGGGCGCAAGCCUGAUCCAGCAAUGCCGCGUGAGUGAUGAAGGCCUUAGGGUUGUAAAGCUCUUUUACCCGGGAUGAUAAGGACAGUACCGGGAGAAUAAGCUCCGGCGAACUCCGU
Molecule: ribosomal RNA, 432 nt
Filed under: uncultured bacterium
Lineage: Bacteria
Description: partial 16S ribosomal RNA
Rfam family: Bacterial small subunit ribosomal RNA
Source: RNAcentral